CAACCACACAUCCCGUAACACCUGCAAUAUCUCCAGAAUGAACCAAAACAUUAUCCCCAAUAUUAUAAAUAGGUAACUUUGCAUGAGGAACCGCAGCAAGUAAAUCAUCAUAACUUCCAUAUUCAUCAUUUCCAUACAUGUUUUAUUAAGUAACCCGAUUCCGUGAAUAAUUUAUUUUGAAAACGAAACGUUCCAUAAUGAGGCCCAGGAUCAAUCGUUCCCCCUUUGGCUUCAAUCUAAACUCAUUAUCAUGAAAAAACUAAUGUUCGGCCUGAAAAUAAAAGAAUCAGAGUUAUACAAAACGAGAGUAGUUGGUAGAAUACUUUUGGUUCACAUAAAUCAGUCAAAUUGAUACGUGGAACAAGUCGAACCCAAACGUUGGUAUUACUGUCGUCCACAUUUGUGACUUGAGCUAAAUCAUUCGCGUAAAUUCCUCCUCGAAUUCGCACCAAUUCAUGACGAUGUACUUGUUUAGUUCUUCUAAUAAAAUACAGAAUUCGUAACGAGGCGGUUUUCUCACAAAAAAGAUUUUUUUUUAAUUACUUACUGUUCACCCAUACCAAAAAUAUUAUUCAAGUCCGCUACUGGAACGAUUUUUAUACUUGAUAAUAUCAAACUUUUCAAUCCAUAAAGGGCUCGUUUAAUCUUAAGACAAAAAAACACAAAUGUUAAAAGUUAAAAAAACUAUUUUUUAUUUGAUAUUCGUUAACAAAAACAAGUUACUUGUGCAAGAUUGGAAGCUUCAACAUAAAUAUGCCCUUUUAUAUUUUUUGGCGCAAACGCAGAAAGUAGAGGAAAGCUUUUUUUUUUUUUUUUCAUGCACAUACAUUUAUUCAUAAUUCCAAUCACAACA
This is a long non-coding RNA of Hylaeus volcanicus, 853 nucleotides long. RefSeq lists it as uncharacterized. The transcript has 3 exons. The record is from RefSeq and is a predicted model, not a curated record. Lineage: Eukaryota; Metazoa; Arthropoda; Insecta; Hymenoptera; Colletidae.